Molecule: long non-coding RNA, 2379 nt
Filed under: Arachis ipaensis
Lineage: Eukaryota; Viridiplantae; Streptophyta; Magnoliopsida; Fabales; Fabaceae
Description: long non-coding RNA (AIPA_LNC001876)
Source: RNAcentral
GAAGAAUGGAGAAGGAGAGUGUAAUUGUUUAUACAACGCUCCUUGAGGUCGAUGAAGUGAUGGAGGAGGCUAGCUUGGAAGCUAAUCGAUACAUUGAAACAAAAACUGAGAAUUAGAAAAUGGAUCUAAUAAUUCAAAUAUCACAAUCAGUUACGAAAUAUCAGUUACGAAACUAAAAAUCAAAUGAAAAAUAUUAGCAAUCAGUUACAAAAUAUCAGUUACAAACAGAGAUCUAAUAAUCAAAUGAAAAAUCAGUUACAAAACUAAAAAUCUGCGACUGGGAAUAUAUUAGCAACAAAUUCGUCAGCUUUAUAGACAUGAACCAGAUCAAAAAAUAUGAACAUCUAAUUAGAAAAAUUCAAAUAAGAAGAUGAAGUAGAUCGAAUUAGUAAUUAGUGAUUCACAAAGAAGAAACACCAAAUCGCAGAAGCACAAUCGGAGGCCAGCAACAACGACAUCGCUUAUGGCGGUGACAAACAUCAGAUCGAGACCAAAGAACCAAGUUACAAAAGCUCAAUCGGAGGCAACAAUGGCUUCGCUGUGGAGAUGAAUGGUAGCGCGAUUGUUAGGGUUUCGUAUUCUCACUCUCAUAUGUUUAAAAGCAUCACUUUCUCUCACUCUCAUCUGCUCUUUUAGUUUUAUUAAUAAAAUAAUAAAAUAAAUGGAGAGAGUGGCGGGUACAACAAAUGCCAAAAUGUAGCGCUUUUAACAUAGACAUUAUGGCAUAAGAGAAAAAUCUUGAAAUAAGGGGAUAAUACGGCGGUUAUAUUAAAUCGCCUUAAUAUUAAUGCCAUUUUAAUCAUAUUUUUUUGUAGUGUGCGCUCUGUUCAUUUAAUGAACAUUACAUGCAUGCCUUCCUUGCCUAGCCUUGUUUCCUUGGUUCCAAGCUCAAUAGUCACGAUAAAAGUAAGAAAAGUAACGUGGCGCUCAUUGUUAAUGAACGCUAGGCUUCCCUUUAAAUUUUAAAGUAGCGCUCCGUUACUUUAAUGAACGCUAGCGUUCAUUCAUUUAAGUUCUCAUUCCAUUCAUUUCCAAAUAAUGCCAAUGCAUGAUGGUAUUAAUCAAUUAAAUGCAUGCAUGCUUUACUUUAAUUAAUAAAACCAAUGUAUUAACAUUUAUUGCAUGCAUUCUUCUAUUGGCUUUAAUUAAUAAUGCAUGCAUUUCAUUCACCUGGCAUUAAUGAUUUAAUGUUUCAUGCAUGCAUGCUUGAAUUUUAAUUAAUAAAGCGAAUGCAUUAACGUUGAAGUUCUUUUUGUUAGAUAAAUAGAUCUAAGUUAUGAACAACAUGGAAAAAUACCUUAAAAUUUUUUGAUACUUGAACAAUCAUGGAAAAUACAUUCUGACAUUUAUUUUAAAAAUAAAUAAAUAACUUGAUGCCUCAUGAUCGAAAAUAAUUCCUUCUGAGUUCAAAAUUGCUUCAGCUAGAAUUCAUACUAAAGCAAUAUCAUCAAAGAAAACACAAAUCCUUAAUGAAAAGUAAAAUCACCAUCUCCAGCAGCAGCGUUGGUAGCCUUGGCAACCUGCUUAACAAGAUCAGCACCAAUGUUCUUAGCCUUAUCCUGAAAUUUGAUACUCUUAGCUACUGUCACACCAUCAUUUGUGAUCCUUGGGUUCCCAUAACUUUUCUCAAUAAUCACAUUACGACCCUAAUUCAACCAACCAAAAAACAACAUUAAAAAAAUAACUAAAUAAAGUAAAUUUUCACACUAAUCAUGUCAAUUUCAUUAUUCAAUCCCAAACAAACUCAAGAAUACCUUGGGUCCCAUGGUAACUUUGACAGCAUCAGCAACCUUAGUGGCACCCUGAAGAAUUGCAGCAGGAGCUCCAACGCCAAAGUUGAUGUCUUUGCUCGUAUAGUUUCUACUUGAAAUAACCCUGCAGCGUAUCUGUUCCAGCAACACAAACAAAAAUGAAGAUUGUAAUUCGUAUAAACGGAAGAAAGAAGAAUGGAGAAGGAGAGUGUAAUUGUUCAUACAACGCUCCUUGAGGUCGAUGAAGUGAUGGAGGAGGCUAGCUUGGAAGCUAAUCGAUACAUUGAAACAAAAAUUGAGAAUCAGAAAAUGGAUCUAAUAAUUCAAAUAUCACAAUCAGUUACGAAAUAUCUGUUACGAAACUAAAAAUCAAAUGAAAAAUAUUAGCAAUCAGUUACAAAAUAUUAGUUACAAAUAGAGAUCUAAUAAUCAAAUGAAAAAUCAGUUGCGAAACUAAAAAUCUGCAAUUGGGAAUAUAUUAGCAACAAAUUCGUCAGCUUUAUAGACAUGAACCAGAUCAAAAAAUAUGAAGAUCUAAUAUUCAAAUAUCAAAUAAGAAGAUGAAGUAGAUCGAAUUAGUAAUUAGUGAUUCACAAAGAAGAAACACCAAAUCGCAGAAGCACAAUCG